This 3543-nucleotide long non-coding RNA is filed under the name Mus musculus (house mouse). Its description in RNAcentral is "long non-coding RNA chr11:6333635-6337178". The record is from RNAcentral. Lineage: Eukaryota; Metazoa; Chordata; Mammalia; Rodentia; Muridae.
UCUUUGCCCUUCCUGAAUUGAUGUGUUAUUUUAGAAUAAGCGCCAGACUGGAAACCAAGUAAUGGUGUCAUUUCAUAGUUUGCUCCUUUACUGAUUUCAAGAUGAAAUAAGCAUGAUGCUGAAGAACAGAGCCUCCUACUGUCCUUUCCAGUUUGAAACAGCUUUCAGAUGAAGAGGCAUCUCCCCUGCAGUGACUGCUUGAGGAUAGGAGAGUGGAUAGGGAAAGUGAGGGUUGGAUCUGUAAUAGCACUGCAGAGUACCAUAGAAUAGCUAGCAAUUUGGGAAAAUAUUCCAGGGAGAUGCUUGCCCUUAGUCCAAGGCUGAAAGCUGUCAACCUUUCCUCUGCUACCCUAGUUGUAUCCUGAAGAACAGUCUCCCACCAGCUGCUUGGGUCCUGGUGACUAUUUCUCCCUCCCAGUGCAGACCCCAGCUUUGUCACUCACUGUGUAAUAUGUAUGCACAUUACUGUUAAAUGAUUCAUGUAUAUGGUCUGCUAUUCUCUAUCAGUUCCCAUUUUCUACUAUAAUUCUCUUAACUUUUUAUUUACCUUUUGAUUGAUUUCUUUUGACUCUUUCCACCUGCCCAAAUUGGCUUUUAUCUUUGAACUUUCAAAUAAAUUUAACUCUAAAUUAUAAAUAAUUGCCAAACAUUAGACUAAUAUGCGCAUAAUAGCUUUAUUUUAGUUUACCUAGUAAUAAUCUUAGUGUGUAAUUAUUGUUAAGGUUUCUGAUUCUGAUGGUAAAUAUUGCUUGUUUUCAUAUACAUCAGGGGUAUGUGAUAUUUUUCUUUCUUCCUUUUUUUUUUUUUUUUUUUCUCCUUGGGGCAUCUUGGAUUUCUUUUCCCUUCCUAUAAACUGUGACCCCUGCAUGGCUAUGCCUUGUCCCUCAUCGUCUGUAGGGUUCUAUGGCCUACACGAGUCUGACCUUGACAAGGUCUUCCACUUACCCACCACCACUUUCAUCGGGGGACAGGAGCCAGCACUUCCUCUUCGGGAGAUCAUCCGUCGGCUGGAGGUAAGAACAGUUCUUGGAAAAAUCUAACAGAUGUCAUACCUGGCUAUUUGUUUGGCUUUGGUCCUGUGGGUUUUUUUGUUUGUUUUUUUUUUUUGUUUUGUUUUUAAACUCUUUUUAUUUAUUUAUUAUAUGUUAAGUACACUUUAGCUGUCUUCAGACACACCAGAAGAGGGCGCCAGAUCUCAUUACAGAUGGUUGUGAGCCACCAUGUGGUUGCUGGUAUUUGAACUCCGGACCUUCGGAAGAGCAGUCGGGUGCUCUUACCCACUGAGCCAUCUCUCCAGCCCGGUCCUGUGGUUUUAAGAAACUGAAAGAUAACCAAUUUCUUUUUUCUGUUUUAUAGCUAGAAACUUUUAAAAAAUUUUUUUGAAACUUACUUUUUUAUUAAAAACUUUUUUAAAAAAAUACUUUUGGAUCCCUUUAGAUUUUAUUUCAGGUGCAGUUGUCACCCUGGAAAUUUUCCUCUACUUUAUAGAGCCUGGAGCUAUUGAUUGCACUACACAGUGGUGGCUGCUCCUGUCCUACCCCUUCCUUUCCUUUCUCCCAUUCUUGUUUUACUUUUCCUUCCUUCCUGACCUGUUUAUAUAUCCUACAAACAGCAGCUGAGAGCCUGGCUUUGUGUCGGGCCGCUUGUGCGGUGCCUGUCUGCCUCUCUCAGACAGGUUAUUGCCACUGUUCGGUAUAUAAGGGUAACUGAGGUGCCUAUUUCAGAAGGGAAUGGAUUUGGUCCAUUAUUCGAUGUUGCUGCUAUGGUAUUCAGAUUUCAUGAACCCAGUUUGAAACAGUCACAGUCAGGGAUCUCUGAGGGGCUCCUGCCCUGGUUGGACGUUAGAGCCUAGGUCACCUCAGUCAGGGCCUUUCCAUCCCCCAGUGGUUAAUGUUUGUUCCAGUGAGCUCAUCUUUUGCACGUUCCAAGUCUACACUUAGCACAAGAAAAUAUUUGAAUGUCAGAAGGGACGCUCUGUAUCCAUCCAAAGCACCUCAGCUAGGAGCUGCCUUGCUUCCUCACCGAUGGCCCUUCUCAGGAGAGCACGAAGUAGAACAUGCCUGUAUCAGUAGGAGUGGUGAACUUAGACUUGUUAAGGAUCAAUCCAAUGUGAGUUAACUUUGGGUCUCACCUGUGUGUUAUUGUCACCACAUUGAGUAUGCUGUCUAAGCCUGCCUUCUUCAUCGGAGCCACCUAUUAACUAUUAUUAGCACUGGAAGCUGGAUGGUGAUAGCGCACACCUUUAGUUCUAGCACUCAGGAAGCAGAGGUAGGCAGAACUCUUGAGUUUGAGGCCAACCUAGCCUAGAGAACUUGAAAUGGGCAAAAUGCCUGAAUAACUUUCAACUGUCGAAAUGAUAUGUUUAAUAUAUUGGCUCAAAUAAAAUAGGAAAAUUUAUCUCAUCUAUUUUUACUUGGAAAAUUGAGCUUACUGAAGAUGUAUUUGCUAAGUUCUGUUUAAUUGUAUCACAACUUAACACAUGCACACAUCACAUGUAAGUUCAGCAGCGCCACCAGUAUGAUAAUGAGAGACUUAUGUGCAUUCCUUAUUUCGAGUUGGGAUUAUUCCGUGGACAACAGUUAUAGCUUAGGCUUUCUGGGGUCUCGUGUAUUUCUUCUGGCUCUUGUUGACAUGGAUGUUAUCUCAUCCAGACCACACAGAUAAUGCCCCAUAUAAGUCAGGUCUCCCAUAAGAAGCCAUGUCCCAAGUGACUUGGCUUUUCUGUAUGUCCCAACCUUCAUCUUUCUUACUUAUUUAUUUCUUAAUAAAAUAAAGAAAUAUCUCUUGUUUAUUUCCCAUAAAAUUUUAAGUCCUGAAUAUCCUUGUGUGAAGGGGUGAGCAGCCUGUAGCAUGCUCAAGGGCUACCUCCCUUUUUCUCUCUGUUUAUCACAUCUGGUAGCUCUUGAAAAAAUUAGAGGUAGCGCUUCUCAACCCCCAGAAACUAGUUUCAUUAGAGCAGGAAGCUAAGAGUUUCCAAAACUUACACAACUUCCCAAAAGAAAUUGAGUUCUCCUGAAAACUGAACCAAGGAUCAAGGGGACAAAAACACUAUCUACUGUCCAGAUCUCCAACUGUAUCUCUGAAUUAAUGGCUAAGUAAUGCUGACAAGUUAGGGAGAAUGUUGUCUGGAUGGAGUCUUUAACUCAGUAGUGUUCUCUGAGCUUUUAGUUGUUCAGUAAUGGAAGCUCUGCCUCAUGGACUUAAGGGCAUAAAGGAUGGACCUGGGCUCAGCUCAGUAGUUACCAAGGGAAGUCUUCCGUCCUCAGCACUGCCAUCAGCAGGCCACACAGGGCAAUGAGAGGCAGAUCCGGGCCUCUGUGACAGACACCUGGUGCUAAUGGCUUCUCCAUUAUACAGAAGCACACCUUACUCUGCUGGUCACGUGCGAAACCUGAGACAUGACAAUAGACUCAAAGCUUAAGUUAUGGAUGGCUUAAUCUAAGUUAGAAGUUCUUGGGAGGCAAAGGCACAAAGAUCUCUCAGCUUGAGGCCAGCCUGGCAAAGUGUCAAGUCUACAUAAGUGAGACCCUGUCUCAAAAAUCC